UUAAAUUGAAGAGUUUGAUCAUGGCUCAGAUUGAACGCUGGCGGCAGGCCUAACACAUGCAAGUCGAACGGUAACAGGAAGCAGCUUGCUGUUUCGCUGACGAGUGGCGGACGGGUGAGUAAUGUCUGGGAAACUGCCUGAUGGAGGGGGAUAACUACUGGAAACGGUGGCUAAUACCGCAUAACGUCGCAAGACCAAAGAGGGGGACCUUCGGGCCUCUUGCCAUCAGAUGUGCCCAGAUGGGAUUAGCUUGUUGGUGAGGUAACGGCUCACCAAGGCGACGAUCCCUAGCUGGUCUGAGAGGAUGACCAGCCACACUGGAACUGAGACACGGUCCAGACUCCUACGGGAGGCAGCAGUGGGGAAUAUUGCACAAUGGGCGCAAGCCUGAUGCAGCCAUGCCGCGUGUAUGAAGAAGGCCUUCGGGUUGUAAAGUACUUUCAGCGGGGAGGAAGGUGUUGUGGUUAAUAACCGCAGCAAUUGACGUUACCCGCAGAAGAAGCACCGGCUAACUCCGUGCCAGCAGCCGCGGUAAUACGGAGGGUGCAAGCGUUAAUCGGAAUUACUGGGCGUAAAGCGCACGCAGGCGGUCUGUCAAGUCGGAUGUGAAAUCCCCGGGCUCAACCUGGGAACUGCAUUCGAAACUGGCAGGCUUGAGUCUUGUAGAGGGGGGUAGAAUUCCAGGUGUAGCGGUGAAAUGCGUAGAGAUCUGGAGGAAUACCGGUGGCGAAGGCGGCCCCCUGGACAAAGACUGACGCUCAGGUGCGAAAGCGUGGGGAGCAAACAGGAUUAGAUACCCUGGUAGUCCACGCCGUAAACGAUGUCUACUUGGAGGUUGUGCCCUUGAGGCGUGGCUUCCGGAGCUAACGCGUUAAGUAGACCGCCUGGGGAGUACGGCCGCAAGGUUAAAACUCAAAUGAAUUGACGGGGGCCCGCACAAGCGGUGGAGCAUGUGGUUUAAUUCGAUGCAACGCGAAGAACCUUACCUGGUCUUGACAUCCACAGAAGAAUCCAGAGAUGGAUUUGUGCCUUCGGGAACUGUGAGACAGGUGCUGCAUGGCUGUCGUCAGCUCGUGUUGUGAAAUGUUGGGUUAAGUCCCGCAACGAGCGCAACCCUUAUCCUUUGUUGCCAGCGGUUAGGCCGGGAACUCAAAGGAGACUGCCAGUGAUAAACUGGAGGAAGGUGGGGAUGACGUCAAGUCAUCAUGGCCCUUACGACCAGGGCUACACACGUGCUACAAUGGCGCAUACAAAGAGAAGCGACCUCGCGAGAGCAAGCGGACCUCAUAAAGUGCGUCGUAGUCCGGAUUGGAGUCUGCAACUCGACUCCAUGAAGUCGGAAUCGCUAGUAAUCGUGGAUCAGAAUGCCACGGUGAAUACGUUCCCGGGCCUUGUACACACCGCCCGUCACACCAUGGGAGUGGGUUGCAAAAGAAGUAGGUAGCUUAACCUUCGGGAGGGCGCUUACCACUUUGUGAUUCAUGACUGGGGUGAAGUCGUAACAAGGUAACCGUAGGGGAACCUGCGGUUGGAUCACCUCCUUACCUUAAAGAA
Molecule: ribosomal RNA, 1554 nt
Filed under: Salmonella enterica subsp. enterica serovar Bardo
Lineage: Bacteria; Pseudomonadati; Pseudomonadota; Gammaproteobacteria; Enterobacterales; Enterobacteriaceae
Description: bacterial SSU rRNA
Rfam family: Bacterial small subunit ribosomal RNA
Source: RNAcentral